UCCCUGGCAGUCUAGUGGUUAAGACUCUGCAUUCUCACUACGGUGGGUCCAGGUUCAAUCCCUGGCUGGAGAA
This 73-nucleotide transfer RNA is filed under the name Bos taurus (domestic cattle). It matches the Rfam family "tRNA". From Rfam's summary of the family: Transfer RNA (tRNA) molecules are approximately 80 nucleotides in length. RNAcentral also lists the same sequence under 5 other names. Lineage: Eukaryota; Metazoa; Chordata; Mammalia; Artiodactyla; Bovidae. The record is from Rfam by way of RNAcentral.